AUGGAGCCAGCGCACUUGCACCGCGGGGUCCGCGCCUGCCAUUUCGGCUCUGGGCUUCUUCCGCCCCCGGGUAAGUGGGUCACAUCACACGCCGCGGGUCAGGGCUGGACGACCGUGGAUGGCAGUCGGCACCUUCCGGCCAGAGGAGGAACCCGAGUUCACAAGGACGCGAUUUCCUGGCUGCGCUCCCCGGGAAGGAGCGCGCACCUUGAGUCUGCGAACCUGGUCCGGGUCCUUGAGGGGUUCAGGAGGUUCAGCUCAAGAACAGGAGGUCUGAAUCCGGGGACCCCAGAAGUCUGUGCACCUCUUGAUUCUACGUGUACCAUGUAUUGCAUUUUUGCUCAGAGGUUUAAAGGUGUCAGUGACCCCAAAAGGGUUGAGAACCGUAGCUUUCCAAGGCUGAUGGGUUCCUCAGUGCAGACUCCGGCCUUAUGAGGAUUUGACAUUCCUUAACAGCCUGUAGGACCUUGAGAAUAUCUCUGCAGGAUCUUUUCUCCUGGAUCUUGGGAAUCUUUCCAUAGAGUUUCUGGGAUCUGUCUGGGGUUUGAGGUCCCUGUGAAAUCUUGGAGUCUCUUUUCAGAGGUUCUGAGAUUCACUCUAUGGUCCUACUGUGGCGUGAGUUCAAAACCUGGGCUUCCGGAUGCCUUGAAAUUGUAGGCAAGGUAUCGUGGGCGUGUCAUAUCCAUGUAAUUCCUGGGAGAGGUUUCAUAGAUAUCACCAGAUUCUCAAAGGAGUGUCACAUCCCCAAAGCUGGGACGGACAUUGCUUUAGAGCAUCCAGUGCUAACCAGACCUUACUCCCUUCUCACCAAUAAGAACCAGGGAAGAAUAAGAUGAAGGAAUUGAAAGGCAGUGUUCUCUAGAAGGCCACAGCUUGAGCUUUGGAGUCAGGUGUUCCUAGGUUAAAAUUCCAGCUGUUGUGCUUAGCAGCUUUGUGGUCUUGAGCAAAUUUCUUAGCCUCUCUGAGCCUCAAGGCCACCUCCUCUAGGAAGCCUUCCCUGUGUCCUGGAUUCAGUUGGUUCCCACUCCACAUUCCCCAAGCCUGAUGCUCCGUGGUGCUUAAUGUGAUUGUUUUUAAGGAACUAAUUGUGUUUAACGUUAUUUCGUCUCUCUACCCCAUCAGCCAUGCUCCAAGAAGGCAGAGCCCUUUGCUGUCUUACAGUCUGUGCCGUGUCUGGUACAUGUUAGGCUCUUGGCCAUUUGUUGUGAAAUAAAUAAAAGAGGGAGAGAAUGGAGGGCUGCAAUGCCAGAUGCUGCACUGGGGGCAGAAAGGGAUCUUAAAUGACUAAGUGUCAUUUCUGUCCUGGAGGAGGUCCCAGGCUAGUGGGGGUAAUGAUGGAGUUCCUGCAAGGAUCACUGUCCUAAAUGCACUAAUGGGGGAUAAACGUUAAUGGGGAGAGCACCAAGAGAUCUAAAGAUGAGUGAGCAGUCCCUCAAGAGUUGAUGGAACCACUUCCCUUUGUAGUAUGUGUUAUAACUUACAAAGCACGUAACUUAGAUAAAUAUCUGGGUAAACCCUUAUCUUUCAGCGAUGGCGAUAUUGCUGCUGAGAAGAGUUCAGUGACUCGGCCAAGGCCACCCAUGCAAUAAUGGCUGCCCAAGGACAUAAGUCAUUUGCUUUGGAAUUCAGCCCACAUCCUUUAGGAAACAGGCUUUGAAGUUAUGAAGGUCUUGGUUUAGAUCCCACUAGAUGUGAGACUUUGGGCAAGUCAUUCACCUCCCUUGAGCCUUGUUUUCCUCAUCUGCAAGGUGGGAAUAAUGACCUCUCUAAUCCAUGUGAGAUAGUAUCUGUAAAGUGACUAGUAUGAUGCUUGGUUUACAGUAAAGGAUCCAUAAAUGUUUGUUGAAUGAAUGCAUGAAAUACACGGAUUGGUGGGUGGCCUGUGAUGGGAAGGGACUAGAAAUCAUGCCAUUGGGGGGAACGGCAGGAGAAACUGAGGGUGAUUUUAUCCCUUCCUACUCUCACUUUCUAUGAUUCCUAUGAAACUUAGCACCGGCCUCAACCACAUUCGUCUGCUUUAUUGUUUGUGACCAACAAAAGUGGACCAACCUCAGCUUGGUUAGCUUUCCUUUUAUGCCUAUCUUUAUUGCAUUUUUUGUGAUGACCAUGUAAUGUAUGCUCCUUGUAAAAAAUUUAAAUUGCAGAAAGAUAUGAGGAAAAACAAAAGUGCAAGUUUAGGCACAGUAGACAAAAGAUGCUGACAUAUUGUUAUUCUUUGGGAGGGGCACAGAACCGGCAGAAAAAAAAAAAAAAUUCUUCCUACUUUAAAGUCUUUCCUCCUGUCCUUGCCUUGGCUUCUGGAAGUUUUGUUAGGAGUCUUGCCUUUGGCCGUAGCAUUGAAGUCUGAGUGUAGCUAAGGGCUGGAGAAUGGGGAGAGGAUGAGACUUGUCUGGGCAGGGGCUUUUCCCGGAAUGAGAUGGAAACUGUGGAACUUUCUAUGGCAGUAUACACAGCUGGUUCAGAUGCCCACUGCUGAUUACCAUGACCUGUGUUUUCAUCCUCUCUUUUCUCUAUUAGAAUCUAGUAGAGUCUUUUUGGAAGUUCCUGCUAUAUGCACACGCCCACAGAGAAAAGCAAAUCAGAAAGAAAAAAGGGGAAAGCAUCCUAUUUCAUUCUCUAUAUUCUCCACUUUAAUGCUUGUACUGAGCAUAUAAGUUAUAACCACGAGGUCCCACUAUACCUGUAGUUCCAUACCUUACUCUUUUUCAUUUUUUAAAGUUUAUUUAUGUAAGUAAUCUCUACCCCCAAUGUGGGGCUUAAACUCAAGAGUCACAUGCUCCUCCUACUGAGCCAGCCAGGUACCCCAGACUUUUUCUUUUUUCACUAAAAUUUCUUCUUUCCUUAAAAGGGAUGUCAGUCUCCAAACACUAGGAUACAUGUUUGUAACUGAGCUUUCUAUUGCUCUGUGGAAGCCUUCUACUCUGUUGUCUGGUUUU
Molecule: long non-coding RNA, 2936 nt
Filed under: Canis lupus familiaris (dog)
Lineage: Eukaryota; Metazoa; Chordata; Mammalia; Carnivora; Canidae
Description: lncRNA (ENSCAFG00845015526.1)
Source: RNAcentral